This 502-nucleotide ribosomal RNA is filed under the name uncultured bacterium. RNAcentral describes it as "partial 16S ribosomal RNA". It matches the Rfam family "Bacterial small subunit ribosomal RNA", at positions 29 to 507 of the family's 1533-position model. The record is from RNAcentral.
AGCGAACGCUGGCGGCGUGCCUAACACAUGCAAGUCGAACGUGAAAGGGAGCAAUCCCCAGUAAAGUGGCGUACGGGUGAGUAACACGUAGGUAAUCUACCCCAGAAUCUGGAAUAACCGGCCGAAAGGCUGGCUAAUACUGGAUAGAGCGACGGAAUCCGUAAUUGGGUUUUUCGGGAAAGGGAGCCUGUAAAAAGGCCUUCGUUCUGGGAUGAGCCUGCGUCCCAUCAGCUAGUUGGUGAGGUAAAAGCUUACCAAGGCAAUGACGGGUAGCUGGUCUGAGAGGACGAUCAGCCACACUGGAACUGAAACACGGUCCAGGCUCCUACGGGAGGCAGCAGUGGGGAAUCUUGCGCAAUGGACGAAAGUCUGACGCAGCAACGCCGCGUGAGUGAAGAAGGCCUUCGGGUUGUAAAGCUCUGUCGAGUGGGACGAAAAUGCUUGGAGUUCACAGCUCCAGGAACUGACGGUACCACUAAAGGAAGCACCGGCUAACUCCGUG